GUGAAGACGUCCCUUGAGACCACGUAAAGAUCUCCUGCAAGUGUAUGUGUGAGGACACUUCCCCUUCUGAUGUGACGGUUCACACGCAGCCUCGGCCUCUUUUUUCCACCAUCAAACGGUUUCCAGAAGCCAUCCAGGCUGCAAUCAGGAAGGACUUUGUCGCGGGGAGAAGCAGCCUACCCGGGAGGGGUCGCGGCAGGAAGGCCGCGGUGCCUCGCUCCGGAGGUUAAAAGGUAAACGCUUCAAUCAGCUCCUCAUUGUGCGACUUCAGUCACAAAAACAACGGCGCUUUCUCCGCCGCGCACUUUUUUCAUCUUACACCUGUUGUUUUCUUUGGGAGAAACUCUUUAAGGUCGAAGGGAGCGAACGAAAACAUCGAGUGUUUUCACAGAUAAUAGUUUGUUCUGGAUGUGUUUUUUGAAGAGAGAUAAGAUUAUAGCGUCUUAAUGAGCGGCGGCCCACUCGCAUGCGUCAGCGCGACCUCUCCGUCUCCGCCGCGUUCAACUCGGUUUGGGGGGAAAUGAAUAUUACCAGCGCCUUUGGAAUUAUUUAUCAGAUGUGUAAUCAGGGGGCUCCUGCACCGCUAAGACCUAAAUGUGUUUCACUUGGCUGCACGCUUUGUUUUUCCGCGAUCACGUCCGAUAUUCUGAGAGGUUUCUGAUUGUAAAACGGGGGUAAACGUCCUUAAGAGGCCGUUUAAUACUUAGUUAUUUGCUAAAUUCAGGAAGUAGUUUUCGAUCUGAGCCGCAGUUUUUUUUUUACCUUUUGUGGGAUCACGCGUUGAUAUUCCUGUUGGUUUGAUAUCGGGGACGGACAGUGGGAACCGAUCGGAAACAGGAACUGAUUGACGCCCAGUGAACUCGGCGGCUCUGACACCCCUGGGUGUGUGUGGGGGG
Mugil cephalus (flathead mullet) is the source of this 896-nucleotide long non-coding RNA. RefSeq lists it as uncharacterized. The record is from RefSeq and is a predicted model, not a curated record. NCBI's taxonomy places the organism in Eukaryota, Metazoa, Chordata, Actinopteri, Mugiliformes, Mugilidae. The transcript is spliced from 2 exons.